UGCUAAACUAAUAAAAUCAACAUAAAAUUCAUGAAAAUUCUCAAAGUACAAUGUGUCAAAUUUCACGUACAUUACAACCAUAAAUCAUUGUCCAUCAAUUUGCUAUAACACACACAUUUACAUAUGUAUAUAUAUAUAUAUAUACGUAUAUACCCAUCAUCAUCAUCUCACCAACCCAUCAUCAUCAUCACCAGCUCAUC
RNAcentral lists this long non-coding RNA (200 nucleotides) under Theobroma cacao (cacao). RNAcentral's name for it is "long non-coding RNA (TCAC_LNC003929)". The record is from RNAcentral. Lineage: Eukaryota; Viridiplantae; Streptophyta; Magnoliopsida; Malvales; Malvaceae.